AUCGCUUCUCGGCCUUUUGGCUAAGAUCAAAGUUUAGUUUCUGUUCUUAUCGAAUUAACCUUCGAUAGAGAUUCGAAUGAGUCUCGUUAAGGUUAUUUGAUUUUUGGAAUUCGGAUGGGGUCGUGGGCUUGCUCGCACCUCAUCACGGGUCGGCCCAGCGUUGCACUGCUGCAGGGAUCGGCCCACCUCCA
This is a non-coding RNA of Necator americanus (New World hookworm), 191 nucleotides long. NCBI's taxonomy places the organism in Eukaryota, Metazoa, Nematoda, Chromadorea, Rhabditida, Ancylostomatidae. The record is from Rfam.